CGCGGCCUAUCAGCUUGUUGGUGGGGUAACGGCCUACCAAGGCGACGACGGGUAGCCGGCCUGAGAGGGCGACCGGCCACACUGGGACUGAGACACGGCCCAGACUCCUACGGGAGGCAGCAGUGGGGAAUAUUGCGCAAUGGGCGAAAGCCUGACGCAGCGACGCCGCGUGGGGGAUGAAGGCCUUCGGGUUGUAAACCCCUUUCAGCAGGGACGAAGCGAAAGUGACGGUACCUGCAGAAGAAGCGCCGGCUAACUACGUGCCAGCAGCCGCGGUAACACGUAGGGCGCAAGCGUUGUCCGGAAUUAUUGGGCGUAAAGAGCUCGUAGGCGGUCUGUUGCGUCCGCUGUGAAAACUCGGGGCUUAACCCCGAGCCUGCAGUGGAUACGGGCAGACUAGAGGUAGGUAGGGGAGAAUGGAAUUCCCGGUGUAGCGGUGAAAUGCGCAGAUAUCGGGAGGAACACCGGUGGCGAAGGCGGUUCUCUGGGCCUUACCUGACGCUGAGGAGCGAAAGCGUGGGGAGCGAACAGGAUUAGAUACCCUGGUAGUCCACGCCGUAAACGU
Molecule: ribosomal RNA, 565 nt
Filed under: uncultured Actinomycetes bacterium
Lineage: Bacteria; Bacillati; Actinomycetota; Actinomycetes
Description: bacterial SSU rRNA
Rfam family: Bacterial small subunit ribosomal RNA
Source: RNAcentral